Molecule: ribosomal RNA, 730 nt
Filed under: bacterium F26(2015)
Lineage: Bacteria
Description: bacterial SSU rRNA
Rfam family: Bacterial small subunit ribosomal RNA
Source: RNAcentral
AACAGGAUUAGAUACCCUGGUAGUCCACGCCGUAAACGAUGUCGACUUGGAGGUUGUUCCCUUGAGGAGUGGCUUCCGGAGCUAACGCGUUAAGUCGACCGCCUGGGGAGUACGGCCGCAAGGUUAAAACUCAAAUGAAUUGACGGGGGCCCGCACAAGCGGUGGAGCAUGUGGUUUAAUUCGAUGCAACGCGAAGAACCUUACCUACUCUUGACAUCCAGCGAACUUGGCAGAGAUGCCUUGGUGCCUUCGGGAACGCUGAGACAGGUGCUGCAUGGCUGUCGUCAGCUCGUGUUGUGAAAUGUUGGGUUAAGUCCCGCAACGAGCGCAACCCUUAUCCUUUGUUGCCAGCGAUUCGGUCGGGAACUCAAAGGAGACUGCCGGUGAUAAACCGGAGGAAGGUGGGGAUGACGUCAAGUCAUCAUGGCCCUUACGAGUAGGGCUACACACGUGCUACAAUGGCGCAUACAAAGAGAAGCGACCUCGCGAGAGCAAGCGGACCUCACAAAGUGCGUCGUAGUCCGGAUCGGAGUCUGCAACUCGACUCCGUGAAGUCGGAAUCGCUAGUAAUCGUGGAUCAGAAUGCCACGGUGAAUACGUUCCCGGGCCUUGUACACACCGCCCGUCACACCAUGGGAGUGGGUUGCAAAAGAAGUAGGUAGCUUAACCUUCGGGAGGGCGCUUACCACUUUGUGAUUCAUGACUGGGGUGAAGUCGUAACAAGGUAACC